This 172-nucleotide non-coding RNA is filed under the name Pediculus humanus corporis (human body louse). The record is from RNAcentral. Lineage: Eukaryota; Metazoa; Arthropoda; Insecta; Psocodea; Pediculidae.
GCCGGGAGUUAGUGGCGUGCUCCUGUAAUCCAGCUACUUGGAGGCCGGGUGCAGCGGAUGACUGAUCGUGUAAUUCCGCCGGCUUACAGAGUAUUUAGAGACUUGUUCUCGAUGCGCGGCGGUUGAGAGCCGUUUUCUCCGGUCGCAGACGAAGAGUCAGACCUGUACCUUA